AAUAGAUACCCUGGUAGUCCACGCCGUAAACGAUGAGUGCUAAGUGUUAGAGGGUUUCCGCCCUUUAGUGCUGAAGUUAACGCAUUAAGCACUCCGCCUGGGGAGUACGGUCGCAAGACUGAAACUCAAAGGAAUUGACGGGGGCCCGCACAAGCGGUGGAGCAUGUGGUUUAAUUCGAAGCAACGCGAAGAACCUUACCAGGUCUUGACAUCCUCUGACAACCCUAGAGAUAGGGCUUUCCCUUCGGGGACAGAGUGACAGGUGGUGCAUGGUUGUCGUCAGCUCGUGUCGUGAGAUGUUGGGUUAAGUCCCGCAACGAGCGCAACCCUUGAUCUUAGUUGCCAGCAUUUAGUUGGGCGCUCUAAGGUGACUGCCGGUGACAAACCGGAGGAAGUGGGGAUGACGUCAAAUCAUCAUGCCCCUUAUGACCUGGGCUACACACGUGCUACAAUGGACGGUACAAAGGGUCGCAAGACCGCGAGGUGGAGCUAAUCUCAUAAAACCGGUUCUCAGCUCGGAUUGUAGGCUGC
Molecule: ribosomal RNA, 531 nt
Filed under: uncultured bacterium
Lineage: Bacteria
Description: bacterial SSU rRNA
Rfam family: Bacterial small subunit ribosomal RNA
Source: RNAcentral